UCCUUCGGGGCAGGGCGCAAUUCCCUGACCGGUGGUAAAGCCCACUAACCUGUUUAUCAGGCCGAAACGGUGAAAUUCCGUUGCCGACGGUAAAGUCCGGAUGAGAGAAGAU
This 112-nucleotide non-coding RNA is filed under the name bovine gut metagenome. RNAcentral describes it as "FMN riboswitch (RFN element)". It matches the Rfam family "FMN riboswitch aptamer (RFN element)". From Rfam's summary of the family: The RFN element is a highly conserved domain that is found frequently in the 5'-untranslated regions of prokaryotic mRNAs that encode for flavin mononucleotide (FMN) biosynthesis and transport proteins. The record is from RNAcentral.